AAAAACAUGGCUCUUUGAUUAUAUAAAAUAUAAAGAGUCGAACCUGCCCGGUGAAGAUUUUUAACGGCCGCGGUACUCUGACCGUGCAAAGGUAGCAUAAUCAUUUGCCUUAUAAUUGAAGGCUAGUAUGAAUGGUUUGACGAAAACAACACUGUCUCCUUUUUAUUUUCUAGAAUUUAACUUUUAGGUGAAGAGGCCUAAAUUUUAUUGAAGGACAAGAAGACCCUGUCGAGCUUAAAAGACACUGUAGAAUCCUGUAUACUUUUAAAUAAAUUUCUACUAAACUUUUUAGUUGGGGCGACUAAGGAACAAAAAAAGCUUCUUGUUAAGAAUAAACAGUCAUGUUUAGAUCCAGUAGAUAGCUGAUUAAAGGAAUUAGUUACCGCAGGGAUAACAGCAUAAUCUCUCUUGAGAGGCCUAAUCGAAAGAGGGGGUUGUGACCUCGAUGUUGGACUAGAAUAUCCUAAAGAUGCAGAAGUCUUUAAGGGUCGGUCUGUUCGACCGUUAAAAUUCUACGUGAUCUGA
Molecule: ribosomal RNA, 525 nt
Filed under: Semisulcospira libertina
Lineage: Eukaryota; Metazoa; Mollusca; Gastropoda; Semisulcospiridae
Description: partial 16S ribosomal RNA
Rfam family: Bacterial large subunit ribosomal RNA
Source: RNAcentral